GACGAACGCUGGCGGCGUGCCUAAUACAUGCAAGUCGAACGCUUCUUUCCUCCCGAGUGCUUGCACUCAAUUGGAAAGAGGAGUGGCGGACGGGUGAGUAACACGUGGGUAACCUACCCAUCAGAGGGGGAUAACACUUGGAAACAGGUGCUAAUACCGCAUAACAGUUUAUGCCGCAUGGCAUAAGAGUGAAGGGCGCUUUCGGGUGUCGCUGAUGGAUGGACCCGCGGUGCAUUAGCUAGUUGGUGAGGUAACGGCUCACCAAGGCCACGAUGCAUAGCCGACCUGAGAGGGUGAUCGGCCACACUGGGACUGAGACACGGCCCAGACUCCUACGGGAGGCAGCAGUAGGGAAUCUUCGGCAAUGGACGAAAGUCUGACCGAGCAACGCCGCGUGAGUGAAGAAGGUUUUCGGAUCGUAAAACUCUGUUGUUAGAGAAGAACAAGGACGCUAGUAACUGAACGUCCCCUGACGGUAUCUAACCAGAAAGCCACGGCUAACUACGUG
RNAcentral lists this ribosomal RNA (508 nucleotides) under uncultured bacterium. RNAcentral's name for it is "partial 16S ribosomal RNA". It matches the Rfam family "Bacterial small subunit ribosomal RNA", at positions 28 to 507 of the family's 1533-position model. The record is from RNAcentral.